RNAcentral lists this non-coding RNA (31 nucleotides) under Mus musculus (house mouse). Lineage: Eukaryota; Metazoa; Chordata; Mammalia; Rodentia; Muridae. The record is from RNAcentral.
UGAGACCUAAUCUGGAGAAAAGUCAUGGUGU